Molecule: long non-coding RNA, 1317 nt
Filed under: Felis catus (domestic cat)
Lineage: Eukaryota; Metazoa; Chordata; Mammalia; Carnivora; Felidae
Description: lncRNA (ENSFCAG00000051623.1)
Source: RNAcentral
UUUUUUUCAGUAAGCUCUCCGCCCAACGUGGGGCUCGAACUCACGACCCCGAGACCGAGAGUCCCACGCUCCACCGACUGUGCCGGCAAGGCAUCCCCAGAAUCCUCUUUAAAGCGCAAGCGACCUAACCCUUAUCCCCCCACCCCACCCCCUGCCCCGGCCCUGUGGAGCGGACUUGCUCUGCGAGUAUCCAGGCCCGGCUGGGGAGGAGGGGGGCGGCUGGAGGGACAGUGCUCCCGGCCCCUCGGACGCCAGCAGCGGCGGGCGGGGACACACGCAGCCGCGGCCCCGCGCACCGUCACCUCCGCCCUCCCCCUCCGACCGGCGCCCGCACCCCCGCCGCGGCUCGCGGACCGAAGGGUCCCAACCUCGCUCAACACACUGCCCCCUUCCCACCCGGGGCAGGGGGCCCUACUCGGCCUCUGCCACGAGUCUCUAGGGUCUUUCCACACCUUCCUCCCUCUCGCCGAGGGUCUCAUCAGCAGACCUUUCUUAAAUUUUGUUCGUCUCUCUCUGCCUUCAGAUCUUCUCAGACCUAGCCUUCAGCCUGAGGGGUCUCCCCUCGGUCCUCUCCCUCGGUCUGCCGAAUCCCUGCACCCUCCCCCCCGAGGGGUUCCCCCCCUACCCCGGGCGCCCCCCCACCUCCACUCACCUCGCGCCCGCCAGCUCUCCCGAGCUCGCUGGCGCCGGGCGCGGUCGCGGGACGCGCACGCCGGGCGGCGGCGGGGGGGCCGCGCGCGCAGCGUACGCGGUGACGUCAGUGCGCUGGCGGCGGCGGCGGCGGCGGCGGCGGCAGGGCUGUUUGUUCUGCUCUCCCGCAGCCGAGGAGCCGAAGCGGUGGCUGCGGCGGCAGCGGCUGCCGGCAGUGCCCGCAGGCGAGCGGGGCCUGUGAGCGCGGCGGAGCGGCGGGCGCGGCGGGCGGGCCCCGGCGCCGCGCAGGCAGCCCGAAGAAGAGGGGGCGGCGGCAGCGGGCGGCCGGCGGGGGCGGCGUGCGGCCUAGCGUCUCAGGUGAGGACCGGUGCCCUUCGGGGCGGCGGGCGGCGCGGGGCGGCCGGCGGGGACCCGCGGCGCGGCCCGCGUAACCUGCAUUGCGUAAUGGGGCCGGUGCGCCAGCACCUACGCCAUCGGCGCGGCGCGGGGGCGGGGAGGCCGGGGCGACGCGGGCUCGGGCCUGCGGGCCUCCCGCGUCCGCGCGCCGUGCCGCUUGCGCCCGGCCGGGGCCGCCUGCGCCGUUGGCGUCGGAGUGGCCGGUCGCUCGCGGGUGCUCGGUCGUUGGCGCCGCCGCCCCCCGGCUUGGGCCGGCCGGCGGGGCGGGGG